UUGGAUCGCCAAGGUGUAUUUGAAAAUUUUUCUAUUCAAUUAAUUUAUAAUUUAUAUAAAUUAUCUAAAUUAUAGUAAAAUAGGGAUCAAAUAUUAUAGAUUUUUUGCUAGAAUCUGAAGCCUCGCAAGGUCUGAAUGUACAGACCCUUUACUUCAUGCGCACGUCAGACUCCAUAGGGAAGAGGGAUGAUUAUCUUGGGAUUAA
RNAcentral lists this long non-coding RNA (205 nucleotides) under Elaeis guineensis (African oil palm). Its description in RNAcentral is "long non-coding RNA (EGUI_LNC046821)". Lineage: Eukaryota; Viridiplantae; Streptophyta; Magnoliopsida; Arecales; Arecaceae. The record is from RNAcentral.